CUCGAAAGCCUGUCCCAGUUCGGACUGGAGUCUGCAACCCGACUCCACGAAGUUGGAUUCGCUAGUAAUCGCGCAUCAGCCAUGGCGCGGUGAAUACGUUCCCGGGCCUUGUACACACCGCCCGUCAAGCCAUGGGAGCCGGGGGCGCCUGAAGUCCGGGACCGCGAGGACCGGCCUAGGGCGAAACUGGUAACUGGGGCUAAGUCGUAACAAGGUAAC
Molecule: ribosomal RNA, 219 nt
Filed under: uncultured bacterium
Lineage: Bacteria
Description: partial 16S ribosomal RNA
Rfam family: Bacterial small subunit ribosomal RNA
Source: RNAcentral